Molecule: long non-coding RNA, 1818 nt
Filed under: Carassius auratus (goldfish)
Lineage: Eukaryota; Metazoa; Chordata; Actinopteri; Cypriniformes; Cyprinidae
Description: lncRNA (ENSCARG00000069871.1)
Source: RNAcentral
CUAAUGUUUACUUUAUUUUGAGUAACUUUUUUUAAUGGUUUUGUUUUUGUUUUGACAGAUUUUCUGUAUUUUUUUCCCCAAGCAAAACCUAUGGAUGCAUAAAACAAAUGAACAAAUACAAUGGGAUUCAUCUUUGAUGUAUUUCUGUAACAACCAGUGGUUGCUUCCUUUAGAUUACUCAGGAACUGGUUACAACGCAAUUAGCAGCAAUACCUGCAGAAAACAUUUCCUGUAGUUAUUUAUGCAUUUCACUCUGCUGUGUCUCAGUCCUACUCGGUGACAUUGUCGUUUUUGAGCAUGAUUUGGGUUGCCACAGCAUUUCAGUGGAGUUAAAGUGCAAACAUGAAGCGCCCUGUUUUCAAACCUUUAUUCUGAGGCCUGAGACGUUUCAGAUCAUUGUCUUGCAGCAUGAGCCAGCUGUGCUUCAGCAUCAGUACACAGACAGACGGACAGCUUCACUUGAAGAACAGAAUCAAAAUUCCUUUACUGAAAAGGCAUCUAGUUCCUGAAGCAGAUAAACAUCAGUGUCUGCUGCUAUGAAGAGGUUUUUAUGAAAUGAAGAUUGAAAACCAAAAAAUGCACUUGUCUGAACACAUACCAUGUAAAAUAUAUAAACUUUUUGAACAGCAUUAUAAUUGCUGUUUGAUUUGUUUGAAAUUGUUUAAAAAAAGAAACCAGAAAACUGUUUUCAAUAAAUCAAUUGUUAAUUGAGCAUCAUCAUUGUGGUUUUACCAAGUAAACCUAUUUUUUUCAGCUUUUUCAGGAAGUGACAUGCUCAACAAUUUCUCACCUCGCUGCUCUGGAGCUCACUCUUCUUUUCUGUUGCAGCUUCAGUGAUCAGAUAAAACCAUGAAGCCGUUUGGACUCUGUUUUUCUGCUGUGUGCAUAUUGUGCUGCUGCUGUCUUGUGUGUGGCAGAGGUCAGUAGAUGUCUUCUGUUUAUUAUCUGUAUUAUAACCUAUACUGCUUUUAUUGCACUUCUUAUUUGAUUUUUUUCCACUUUAUCAAGCUCUUGUCUAUGUCAAUCUUUCACACAGGUCAAGGUGUGUGCAGUGUAGGGAAGUUCAUUACCAGAAUCAAUUUAACCACAGAACUACAGUCUGAAAUCCUGCUGCCGUGCCUUUUUGAAGCAGCUCUCAUUGGAUCAAACCUGAACAUGAGUUCACUUGCUGUGUGGAAUCACAUUACUGAAACCACUGACGGCAUUGUAGAGAUCAAAGUAAAUGAUCAUGAAAUCUUCUGGAAUAACAGAGGCAAUAGAAUUAAGGCAUUCGGUGCUGCUGCUGCAUCUGGAAACUUCUCCAUCCUGAUUGAAGAUGUGCAGCUGUCUGAUCUGGGGCUCUACCGCUGUGAACAUUUCAUAGAUACCAACUGUUCUCUGGGCUAUAAAGAGAUAAACAUCAGUCUGGCUGCUGAGUUUUCACCGCUCAAUAACUGGCAGCUCAUAGUUGCUGCAGGAGGAGGAGGAGGAUUCCUUCUUCUCUGUCUGAUCACCGUGUGUGUUUACUGGACAUGGACAAAACGACAAACAGUUGAUGCAUCAGUCAACCACACAUCACACAAUUGUCAUGACAGUGAAGGACAAAAAAAUGAUGAAAUAACCUAUGCGUCAGUUGUUCCUAAGUCACACAAUUGCCAUAACAGUGAAGGACCAAAAAAUGAUGAAAUAACCUAUGCAUCAGUUGCUCUUAAAUCACACAACUGCCAUGACAGUGAAGUUCUUCUGAAUAAUAAACCUGUAAAAGGCUCUGCAUCAGAAACCAUGGUCAACCCAGAGACGGUCCUUUACUCUACCCUCAAGCAAAGAGAGGGAAGAUGA